UAUAUAGCUAGGUUCCCAUGGCUGAUGAUAGAUAUUUGAUCUGGUUUCGCUUGCUUAGCUGCUGAAGAAAUGGGUGUAGAAGUCUUAAUUUUCAUGAAGCAGGCGUCAUUCUGAGAUGAUAUGCUGCUCUGGUUUUCUCCUUGUUGCCGAAGAAUUUGAGAAGGUGCAAAGAGAGAGUGUUUGUUCAUAGUAUCAGUGUGCUUCAGCAAUAAUUGGAAGAAGCUGGUGUAGAGAUCAGUUUAUAACUUCUUAUUAGGUUUCCUUAUCAGAGUACCAAGUUGUAAUCAUGCUUGACUUUUGUUGAUGGAAAACUUCAACUAAGUUGGCUUAUUAUGAAACUUCUCGGAAUGUUGCAUAGAAUCAUUGUUGGUCAAGUUAUGAAAUGCUGUAUCCCUUUAAUGUGGUUUCAGUGUUUCGCUCUGAACUAAGGCAGUAAUCCUUUUAAGGAUGUGAACUGCAGUUGUGCAGUUGUAGCAACUUAUGAAAACCUGCAUGCAUAAGUUCAAAUCCUUUCUUAAAUUUACGGAUGUAGAUUUUGCUACUAGGAAAGUUUCUUCGAAAAAUUCAUGUGCAUUCUGACAUUUGUCAAAAACAAAAAUGUACCAUUACAGGUCGCAUGAAUUGCAGCCCGAACAUCCCUUUCAGGCGUCACCUUGAGCUGAACUGUUGGAACAGAGGAAUGGCGCUCUUGUCUUCGAGGAAUUUUCCUGAUGACUAUUGAAACAAUAUGGUAUGGAAUGGCAUUGCUGAUCAUUUGCCUUCCAGGAAUUUUCCUGAUGACCAGUGGAAUAAGGGAAUGGCCUUAAUCGUUGAUCAUUUGACUUCCAGGAAUUUUCCUGGUGGCUAUUGGAAUUAUGGAAUGGCGUUGAUUGUCGAUCACUUGACUUCCAGGAAUUUUCCUGAUGACUAUUGGAAUAAUUGAAUGGCAUUAAUUUUUUAUCAUUCUACUUCCAGGAAUUUUCCUGAUGAACCUGACACUACUCACUACUGUCUAAGUCCAAGUAUCAGUAGCAUUUUUUCCCCUUCUUUUUCUCCGUCUAUGUAUAGAUGCUGCAGGAUCUCAUUAUAGAUGGAUCUGGCGUACGAAAAUGCCUCUAAAGACUCGAUGCUUACUAGAGAAAAUAUGCAUAAGCCGAAUUGGACUGGCAAUGAUCGAACUGAAACUGCUAGACAUCUCUUUUUUUUACCUGCCUCGCUGUUAGGGUGGUUUGGGGUUCUGUUGAAGUUGUUCUGGUCUUCUGGAUGCCAGCUGCUGCUGCCCUUCCCCUAUUUGGCAAGCCUUUUCCUGGUUUUACUUUUUCCUUCAUGGUGGAUAUUGCUGCUAUCUGCUAUCUGAUCAUCAUGUUGGUGACUCCCUACUACAAAUCGCCAGUCCUGCAAAUCUCUUCAACAAUGACGGCUCAAGGCGGCCCGUCAGUGGUAGCGUUCAUCACUGACGGGCCGGCCAUGACCGGUUAGUGAUGAGUCUGGGAGGGCUAUUCAAGUAAGUAAACACUGACAAGCCACUAGCCGACCAGCCAGUGACGAGUCAUUUGUCCACUCCCUGGUGACCCAUCACGAACCAGUUGCUUCGGGUAACAGCUUCCCGCCANNNNNNNNNNNNNNNNNNNNNNNNNNNNNNNNNNNNNNNNNNNNNNNNNNNNNNNNNNNNNNNNNNNNNNNNNNNNNNNNNNNNNNNNNNNNNNNNNNNNNNNNNNNNNNNNNNNNNNNNNNNNNNNNNNNNNNNNNNNNNNNNNNNNNNNNNNNNNNNNNNNNNNNNNNNNNNNNNNNNNNNNNNNNNNNNNNNNNNNNNNNNNNNNNNNNNNNNNNNNNNNNNNNNNNNNNNNNNNNNNNNNNNNNNNNNNNNNNNNNNNNNNNNNNNNNNNNNNNNNNNNNNNNNNNNNNNNNNNNNNNNNNNNNNNNNNNNNNNNNNNNNNNNNNNNNNNNNNNNNNNNNNNNNNNNNNNNNNNNNNNNNNNNNNNNNNNNNNNNNNNNNNNNNNNNNNNNNNNNNNNNNNNNNNCCCCCCUAUUGAUUUUCAGUUGUUUUUUAUGUGAGAUACAGAAUACUACUCCCUCCGUUGCUAAAUACAAGUCUUUUUAGAGAUUCCACUAUGGACUACAUACGGAGCAAAAUGAGUGAAUCUACACUCCAAAAUACGCCCAUAUAUCCGUAUGUAGUUUGUAAUGUAAUCUCUAAAAAAGACUUAUAUUUAGGAACGGAGGGAGUAUCAUAUUAUAUUAUAGGUAGAGAUACAGCUACAUGGAAUAGUAAUUACACGAAAAUGGCAUCUAUACAGUACUUGUCAUGGCAAGCUAGGAGGGGAAAGGGAUGGCUUGGUCACUUUCAGCUCCCCACAACCGCUGAUAUACACAGUUUUCUGUGGGCGAUCCCACAUGGCUCUAGCAGAUUGAGCUCUUUCAUCGCCAAUCAGCUGUGCAAAAUCAUUGAAGAAUUGGAUCCUUUCACCUGGUUUAUAGGUAGGGAUGGUUGCAAUGCUGGAGAUAACGUCCAUUCCUACAUGAUAAAUGAAACGAACAUCAGAACAAAGGGUAAAUAAACUUGGUUGCUUCCAUCUUUUUAUUAUAAAUAACGAGAAGGACCCGGCAGUUCAUAAAAGAGCACGAGGAUGCUCUACGAUAUGCUGGGGCAUUUCAGAAGUUCUGCAAAAUUGCAAAUAAUGCAUGUCCAGUAAAGGAAAAGAUUGAUAAUUGCAUGUAAUAGGUAACAUACACCAACCAACUUAAUUGUCAGUUAUUUUUAAUAAAACAAACAUGUGCCUUUGUGGUGACUAUGGCAUGUAAGCAUGCAAUAUACUAGCAGAUAAGAGGCGUGAACAGUCUCUGGAACAGUCUCUUCAGCACUCCAGAAGUUAUAAUUAACUAUAGAAAUAAAAAGAUCUUAAGUAUAUUAACCUACACUUCGUCAGGUACAUGUAACAUAUGUGCAUUAGACAAAAUGUAACCUGUAAAUUUCGAUAAGUUGAACAGUGAAGAAAAGAUUCAAGCAAGCAGACAGCAUUGCACUUGCGUAACUGAGGCGGACAUGGGAGUUAGCGUUGGCGGGCAUGAGGUUUGCCGACGGGAGGCAGUAAGAGCCUGUUUGGGACUGCUCUGCUCCUUAAAAUUCAGCUUCACUUCAGAAAAGACAAGCCAAACGGGGUAGCUCCACAAUAUUGCCACUCCACAAAAAAACUAGAAUCUGGGUUAUAACUCCCAGUUUUUUAUGAAGCUCUUGAGGGGGUGCUCCAAAAAACUCUAGAAGCUGGAGUUGGGGGGAAAUUACCUACCACUGCCACCAGUAAGUGGAUACCCCUUCGUUUCUCCCCCCUCAUCCAAUCAAAUAGAUCCUUUCCACCAAAUUUUCCAUUCUUGAAGCUGGAGCUACAUGGAAGCCAAACAUUCUCUUUGGUAGUGCUACAACUUCUGUAUGAAACUACUCCAAAGUGAAUUUAGUGGAGUGAAACUGAUUUUGGUGAAGCUGAGCAGUCCCAAACAAGCCCUAAGUUUAAGAAUACUAUUGAACUAGAUAUGUCUUCAAAAUUCUUUGAAUAAAAAGAGAUGUCUUCAUUUAGCCAACCAAAACCAAAUUAUUUUUGGGUGAUGUUAUCCGUUAUGUUUUUUUCUUUUGAGAAAAUGCAAAAGCUUUGCGUCUCGAUGUAUUGAUAGGAAGAAGAGUUUGUACAAGUCCAAAGCUGAGAGACACCCAAAACUACAACACGACGCCACUAAACGUUAGGCGCCGCCCUGCUGGUACCAACGCUGCAAGACCCCUCGCACCCGCCCUUGCCUAGCUUCCGACUUGAUAGUGUCAAGGAGACCAGCUAAACUGAGCUGAGCGUUGUCGAAGAUGAUCACGUUACGAUGUUUCCAGAUAGACUGGAUUAGAAGGAUCCGUUAUCCGAAAAUUUGAAUACCAUGCUAUCAACAUGAUGAAGGGGGACGUGCCCUUUCUAACAGCAGUCUGGAUGGAAUGGCAUGUGAGUUGCCCCCAGUCCACAAAAUAGUGCCUGCAGCGAGGGACACGCCGUCAGUCAGAUCGAGGGGAGCACCUCGUGCCACAUCGUAAGCCAGAAGGAGCAACCCGUGAGGUGACCCAUCGUCUCGUCCGACUGGUCACAGAGCACAUUAGCUAGGUGCAUGCUGCAGGCCACGUCUCUACAGUCUCUCAGCGGUCCUGACAGCCGAGCCACACGAAUUAGCGUGGGGGGAGGGAAGACUUCCACUUCAACUUUCAAGAGCUCGAACCGACCAACCCAUGAAAGAGGGCGCCAUGCCAGGUCUUGGAUGUGUACUGACUGCUCGGUGUCCGCCGCCACUGCUCACAUCUGGUGAGGUGGAAAGCACCACCCCGCGCACCAUUCACCUAACCUGGAUAUACUGCCAAAGGGAUGUCUGACAUCCAACGACGGUCGGUAAAGGCCUCCCUAACUGUGCCCCUUCUUUUCCUAGUGCGCCCUGAGAGCAGGAGAAAGAGCUCACACGCGAACUCUGAAAUAGUGCGCCCAUCCAACAAAAGAUCCUCCAAUAAUAAGGUAGAUGCUCCAUCCCCAACCACUAUGUUGGUGGAUGCGGCAAACACCUCCCGUUCAUCACGGGAGAAGUCCGAUAUAUCUAAGUCUCCUAGGCAGAGUGGCCUGCAACCAAGGGCUGGAGCGGCUCACUCAAUAACCUGCUUAGCGCGAGAGGGGUCCCGAGCUAUCUGAUCAGAGGGAGCUAGCUGACACUCCAUGACCGAUGCUGCCUCCAGGGCCUCCUCGUCCGAACAUCCAAUGGGGGACACUGAGCACUUGUCAAAAUUGGUGGGAAGCCCAAAGAUCGCAAGUAUGCUGCGAACAAUGAGCAACCCUGCUCUAUCCAGGUGGCAGAAGAUGACAGCCCUUCUUCUUAAAGUGAGACGCUCGCAGUCAAAUUCCGGGGUACUAGGCGGCGGAGCAACCCAAGCUCAGCCUUGGACAACAACUUGUUUAGUGUGUCUAUCACCAACACAAACACCAUAUGGGAGAGUGAAUCAACCUGUUGCAGGCCCUUGCGAUGCCAAACCGGCAGAUAACGCCGAUGGGGCAUGCUCAAGCUAGAUAACAAAACUAAUUUUUAAAUCACAGGAUAAGCUAAGGUGUAUGCAGCAAAGAUGAGGAUGUUAUGGCUUGCUGUUGGGAAGAACUAAGGUAGACAUUGAUUCAUUGAUUGAUGACAUGGAUGCUUUUCUGAAUAAUCUAUGACAUGUACAGAUGGGAUGUAAACAAAGCUUGUAACAGUAUAUCACCGGAAGGUUCAUGUUUAGAAAUCCUACUCUAGCAAGGCUACAUUUUGCUCUUAGUCUUACCAACCCUGUCAUUAGUAGACCAGUCAUUAGUCAAAUUCCACAUAACAUAGCUGGUUCACGAAGUGCAUGUUAUUGAAAAUUGAAGGUCCCGAUAUCAAAUUCUUGCAAGACAUUCAACACAGAAUCUGUGAUAACCAUCUCAUACAAGUAAUUCUGAGAGAAGUACUCACCUUCUAAUACAGUUCCAAAGACAAUGUUCUGAUCAUCAAGCUCUGGACAGGGCCCUGGCCCUGUGGUCACCAGGAAUUCAACAUUGUGAUAAUUGGGGCUGAGUUUGAUGCUAUCGUCGUCGUCAUUCUGCUCAAGACACAAGGAUAGGGUGCCAGGCCUUGUAUGUCUUAGUUGAUACGCUUUAGGAUCAACAGUCUCAACAUUUCUCACAAGCUUUGAGGGAGGUUGGACCACACCCUUAUCACGCCGAGAACCUUGUCGGCCAGCAGCAAAGAACUGACCUUGAAGCACCUUGUGGACAAGUGUGCCUCGAUAUGCAGAAGCAGUGCAGGUAGUUUUGAAGUUGGCAGUAGUGAUCGGGAGUAGCCGACCAUAGAGACCAAAGACUACACGUCCGAGGGGCUCGGAAUCAGGGCAAGAAGCAAGUUCAGCUCCUAACGUGCGGUCAUUGCUAAAGAAGCUUGGACAAAUGCUAAAGUCCAUGAAUAUGCGGUCGGUGAUGGUGGUGUCAACUGUGGAUGAGGAUGGAGCGUUUGCAUUGUCUAUGGCAAAGGAGGAGGAGGCGGAGAGGAGAAGAGAGGAAGCAGGGAGUAAGACGAGAGACCGCCUAGGAAUUCUUGGGGAGUGGUUGUAUUUAUGGGUAUUGUCAUGGUUUGGUCUUGAGGUAGCAAAACAGGAAGACUGGCUGUUGGGGUGGUGGUGGAGGCUGCUAAGAGAAACAUGGUCAACCAUGGAGGAAGUAGCUUUUGUGCUUGAUGAAGGCAGCAUUUCGUUGCUAAGUGAAUGCUUCAGUGUUUGUCCUGCUAAUACUUCAUUUCCUGCAAUAACCAAAGAUGAAUGAGGCAUAAACUUUGCUUAAGUAAUAUGCUUACUUUCUCGACAACUAGCAUAACACUGUCAGGUACUCCUUCCGUCCCGAAUUACUUGUCGCAGAAAUGGAUGUAUCUAGAACUAAAAAUACGUCUAGAUACAUCCAUUUCUGUGACAAGUAAUUCGGGACGGAGGGAGUAUAACUAAAAGCCCAGGCAUUCAUAAUACAAAAAACUCUUGGUUAUCUCUCUACUUUUUCACAUGGAGCUCACCCAGGAUGGGGCAUAUGACAAGGGUGUACAUAUCACCCUUUAUUCUAAAAGUGACUCCUACUGCAGCAACCUAAUUAAGCCACAUCACCCCUAGAAUUACAGUCAGUAAAUUAAUUAAUAUUUCCUAUUUACUGCACUCAUGCAUUGUGUGUGGUGCAAACAAUGAAUGUAAGGACUGUUGCUAAACAAUUGGAAGGUUGGUGCCUGAAAGACUAUGUUGAACGGAAACGUUCUGUCUUCGAAAACAACAUUUCAUUCAUAUAUAGAAGUAAAUAAGCUUCAUGCAUACAUAGAAGUAGAAGACGUGUCAUGCAUAUAAAGACCGGAUGUGUACUCUGUUCGACACAGAUCUGUGCAGUAAACCAAUACUCGAUGGACAAUUUAGGUAUGGAGGCACACGAGUUCAAUGUUUAAAUGAAAUAUAUACUGAACGGUUCUGGAAGGUUCUCGUCAGCAUCUUGUCUUACAUAGCAUGCAAUGCUCCCGAUAUCACAUCAACAUCAAGAUAUGUCAAUGUUACUCCCGAAUAACAUCAAAAUCUGCCCCAAGAAUUUAAUUCUCUUUUGGUAACCUGGAGGAGUUGCUUGAGACUGGUACUCAACUGCUCAUUGAAAAUUAUGUUUCGAAGUGUUAGAAGAAAGGUGUGUGCACCAUUGGAAAAAUACAGUAAAACCUCUUUUCAGAAACAAACCAUCUUUGAACUAUUACAGACAUGCAUGCUAAAGAGAAUACAUGAGGCAAGAAAUUACUAAGACUAUUCAUAAACAUACUUGGUUACUUAAUUGUAAAUACACCCACAGCAACGUGUGGGCAUGGCCCUAGUGUACAACAGCAAUCAAGUAGUUACAAUACACAUGUAUGAAGUAUGCUGACAAUUGCAUCAAAGUUUCUUAAAUGUAUGGAUUUCACAUUACAGCCUGCUACCCUACUCUCCCUCCAAAAACCCAGUAGGCAAUCAACACAUCCUUAAUAAGUCCAUAUAUCCAACAAGCUGACAGGCAGCAAUUCAACAAAAGAACUACCCAUCUGCCUGGGCCAUCGGCAACUCCGAACCGCCAAAGUGGCGAUUGGCAUCUGUGACCUCAUACUGCUCAAGCAGGAUGAGGGUGCAAGCGGGACGCAGGCGGUCACCACAGCCAGUCGUCAACCAGCAAGUGGGGAGAGCCUUACCUUGGCUCGUCACUUUGUUGUCUUGCUUCGAAAUUACUCCCUCAGUCCCACAAUAUAAGGCCGUUUUGCAAGCUAAAAAAUAGCUUGCAAAACGAUCUUAUAUUAUGGGACGGAGGGAGUAGACAUUACUACUAACUGUGAAUUGUUACAUUACUAUUGUACUGCUCUUGGUCCCUAGACCCAUGAAUGAGCUGUGUGUUUCUGACAAAAGACUCAAAAUAUGAAGAGGAAAUGUGACAGUUUUACUAUAAAUUGAACCAAAAUCAUUGGCCAUCUAACAAGCAUUCCCUGACGUACAUGGCACGCAGCUGACUUAGUGUGAUGGUUUCAGACUUUCAGUCGAACCAGCAAUAGCAAUUUCCAUGUAAAUUGAACGGAAAGCAAGGGAGCAGCCCGUUUCCUAGUACAGAACCCAAAGAAAUGGAAAUAGAGCGGCGUAGCCACGGGGCACGACCUCACCUUCCAGAUCACCGGCGGCGGCGGCGGCGGCGGCGGACGGUGGAGGCACAGCCCUGCGGCUGCACUUGGCCCUGCGGAUGCGGCUGCGGAAGGCGGAGGUAGAGGUCAGGGACGAGGAGGGGACGGGGCGGCGGUGGGAGCUAGUGUCGUGGUCUCGCCGGUGGAGAGCGAGGCCUAGGGACGUGGCGGUGGCGGCCAUGGCGGCGGUGGGAGGAGCUGUGGCCUGUGGCCGGCGCUGUCCGGAAAGGAUAAGGGUAUACUCAAUUUUUUAUGGGUCCGAAUAACUGCCACACGUGUGGCGUCGAUAGGAACCCGCCCGCACGCUUCGUGCGGCAUAGACGGGGAUCGGCCCGCACGACCACGUCCGAGCGCACAAAAGCACGGCCCGCACGUCCGGUGUGUGGCAAACCCGCCCGCACUGUCAGAAGACCGGCUGCCCGCACGACCCAGCCGAUCCACGCCUCCGAUCCAUCCGUCGAACCCCGACAUCCGUCGCCGGCCAUCCCUGGUUGCCAUGGCAACCAGGGCAGAUCCAUAGGGCGCUCCGACCCCAAACCACACCCUAACCCUUCCCAUCCCCAGCCGCCCACUCCAAUCCAGCCCUCCAGACACGAUCAACUAAAACCAGGUGAAAAUUCUCGAUCUCGUCCUUCCCUCUCAUCCUUAAGGCUGAAAAUCUCUCGAUCUUGUACUGGGUCCAUACUAUAGGGGUAGAACACUGCAUGGUUCGGUGUAUAUUCGCAAUUGCCACGCAGAAUACACCAGAUCUGCCAUGUACUACGUUUGAGGUUAACUUAGGUGCCUAGUUUAGGCACUUAAGUAGUUGGGUAUGAAAUGGAUGAGUAGGAAUCCCUAAAAAAGGGCAGGAAGGACGAUUUUUUGAAUGAAGAGGGUGGGAAAAAAUAAUUGCCACUUGUGUGUAACGACAGUUGCCGCUUGUGUAUGAUGACAAUUGCCACCUAUUUUGACAUGUUGCUUGCCAUCCCUAUCUUCCAUGUGCAAGCAGCAGAAGAAUACAAUUCUUGUGGAUUAUUGAUGCCUUUUUGAUCAUCCAGUGAUUGAGAACAUGUCGGAAAAGAAUCGAGACGCGGAAAGGAUGAAUCGCGAAGGUGGCGCUGAUGCUUGGGGUUCUCAAAGGCCAGAAACACCGCCUUGGGAUGCAGCAGAGUAUAGUCAACUCAUCUCUGCAGGGCCGUUGCUGCCACUACUAGAACAGUAUGCAGGCGUAGGUAUGAUGCGUGGUAACAAAAAGAAGAGAGCAGUUGCCAACUUCGCAACGAUGAAGAUGACAUUCUACUUAUGUCCUACACUCCCAUUUUUUUGCAGGUUCUUAUGACCAAAACACUCUUAGGGGGGCCCCAUGGCAAGUUCAGUCACAAGGCGCUAACACUGACAUAUGUACGGGCAACCAACCUCAACUAGCUAGUAUGGCUAAUCAAGGUAAUGCAAAACCAAAAAAACAC
Molecule: long non-coding RNA, 9647 nt
Filed under: Triticum aestivum (bread wheat)
Lineage: Eukaryota; Viridiplantae; Streptophyta; Magnoliopsida; Poales; Poaceae
Description: long non-coding RNA (TAES_LNC016668)
Rfam family: MIR1120/MIR1122 microRNA precursor family (bases 6372-6487)
Source: RNAcentral